This 468-nucleotide ribosomal RNA is filed under the name uncultured bacterium. Its description in RNAcentral is "partial 16S ribosomal RNA". It matches the Rfam family "Bacterial small subunit ribosomal RNA", at positions 28 to 507 of the family's 1533-position model. The record is from RNAcentral.
GACGAACGCUGGCGGCGUGCUUAACACAUGCAAGUCGAACGGAAGGGCCCUGAGUUUGCGGGGUGCUCGAGAGGCGAAGGGGUGAGUAACACGUGAGUAACCUGCCCUUGACUUUGGGAGAACUUCAGGAAACUGGGGCUAUAACCGGAGAGGAGCUCCUGCUGCACGGGGGGGGUUGGAAAGUGUCGGCGGUUGGGGCUGGACUAGCAGCUUAUCCGCUUGUUGGUGGGGUAGUGGAUUACCAAGGCUUUGACGGGUAGGCGGCCUUAGAGGGUGGCCGGCCACAUGAGGACUGCGAGACGGCCCAGUCUCCUACGGGACGCAGCAGUCGGGAGUAUUGCACAAUGGGCCGACGCCUGUGACGGCAGCGCCGCGUGCGGGAUGACGGCUUUCGGGUUGUAAACCGCUUUCGCCUGUGCCGAAGCGUGAGUGACGGUAAUGGGUAAAGAAGCACCGGCUAACUACGUG